CUGUAACUAUUGGAGCACUGGGAUAUGUAACACAUUGCCUAAAUACCAAUCUUCAGGAAUUAGGCUUCUCAAAGCCCGAAACGAGAAAGCUGAUUCGAUGACUACAGAUCUAAGGCAUCACUGGGACUUUAAAAAAGAAAACUAGAAAGG
Long non-coding RNA from Octopus sinensis (East Asian common octopus), 150 nucleotides. RefSeq lists it as uncharacterized. The record is from RefSeq and is a predicted model, not a curated record. The transcript is spliced from 3 exons. NCBI's taxonomy places the organism in Eukaryota, Metazoa, Mollusca, Cephalopoda, Octopoda, Octopodidae.